AACGAACGCUGGCGGCAUGCCUAAUACAUGCAAGUCGAACGAGAAAGUUCUUCGGAACGAGUAGAGUGGCGCACGGGUGAGUAACACGUAGGUGACCUGCCAUGCAGAGGGGGAUAACUCGGAGAAAUUCGGGCUAAUACCGCGUACGCACUAAAACUUUGAAAGGAUUAGUGGAAAGGAUGCCUCUCCUUGGAAGCAUUCACUGUAUGAUGGGCCUGCGGGACAUUAGCUAGUUGGUGGGGUAACGGCCUACCAAGGCAACGAUGUCUAGCCGGUUUGAGAGAACGAUCGGCCACACUGGAACUGAGACACGGUCCAGACUCCUACGGGAGGCAGCAGUAGGGAAUAUUGCGCAAUGGGCGAAAGCCUGACGCAGCAAUGCCGCGUGAGUGAGGAAGGCCUUAGGGUCGUAAAGCUCUUUCGCCAGGGAUGAUAAUGACAGUACCUGGUAAAGAAACCCCGGCUAACUCCG
Molecule: ribosomal RNA, 472 nt
Filed under: uncultured Pseudomonadota bacterium
Lineage: Bacteria; Pseudomonadati; Pseudomonadota
Description: bacterial SSU rRNA
Rfam family: Bacterial small subunit ribosomal RNA
Source: RNAcentral